Molecule: non-coding RNA, 842 nt
Organism: Arachis ipaensis
Lineage: Eukaryota; Viridiplantae; Streptophyta; Magnoliopsida; Fabales; Fabaceae
Source: RefSeq, a predicted model, not a curated record
AUUAAACCGCUUUCUUUCUCUUGGUUCAGCCGAACCGGAAUCAAAAGCCCAUCAUCAGGAGAAAUUAACUAUGAUUAGCCUUAAUUUUCUUACUUCUUCUUCCUCUGAUGACCGAACCUGAGAAGGAUCCCCAACCCCAGUUCCACCUCUUGGUUACCUCUUCCAUUAAAUGCUCAUCCUUAUGUGUCUUAUUGAGAAGAAACCAACGAAACCUCUGCACUGCCUCAUCCCACCUCCUCUUCCUCUAUCUAAUAAACCCAGUGCUUUUCAUCCUCUUCAAAAUUAAAACACGCACAAAUGGAAGAAAGAACAGAGGAAAGAAUGAAAUGAAGCUGAGGGAGAAGGAAGGAGCCAUCAACAGCAAGAAGAUAGACUGCAUUCCUCAUCAUUCUGAAUCUUUGAAGUAUCCUUACUGGUGGUAACCAUAAGUAAAAGAGGAGUGAGAACUCUCUCUUGCUCAAACUUGAACCGGCCACUUGUUCGUAGGGAGAGUGACCGAAGCUUCAAUUUCGUAUGGUUAGGAUCUCUAAUUCAAGGAAGAAGCACAAACAGAAUUUUGAACUUCAAAAGAGGUAAGGGUUUGAGUGUUUAGAAGGAUAUGUUUGUGACUGAUUGAUGGUGCUGUUGGUGAAUUGUAGGCUUGAUAAUGUUAUUUGGGGUUUUAAGUUGUUAUGUGCAGAAUUUACUUGAAGGCUAAAGGCCAUGUUUUAUGAUUGAAUUAGUUGGUAGUAUAAGUUGUUGUGCUUGAGAUGGGUUCUGUUAUAACUAACCCAGUUGGAUGAUGAUGAAUGAUGAUUUAUUAUGUGAAUGAACGAUAGAAAGUACAUGUGGAAAUUCUGUUU